RNAcentral lists this ribosomal RNA (253 nucleotides) under uncultured bacterium. RNAcentral's name for it is "partial 16S ribosomal RNA". It matches the Rfam family "Bacterial small subunit ribosomal RNA", at positions 524 to 776 of the family's 1533-position model. The record is from RNAcentral.
UACGAAGGGGGCUAGCGUUGCUCGGAAUCACUGGGCGUAAAGCGCACGUAGGCGGAUUGUUAAGUCAGGGGUGAAAUCCUGGAGCUCAACUCCAGAACUGCCUUUGAUACUGGCGAUCUCGAGUCCGGGAGAGGUGAGUGGAACUGCGAGUGUAGAGGUGAAAUUCGUAGAUAUUCGCAAGAACACCAGUGGCGAAGGCGGCUCACUGGCCCGGUACUGACGCUGAGGUGCGAAAACGUGGGGAGCAAACAGG